AUUGAACGCUGGCGGCAGGCCUAACACAUGCAAGUCGAACGAGUGGCGGACGGGUGAGUAAUGUCUGGGAAACUGCCUGAUGGAGGGGGAUAACUACUGGAAACGGUAGCUAAUACCGCAUACCAUCGGAUGUGCCCAGAUGGGAUUAGCUAGUAGGUGGGGUAAAGGCUCACCUAGGCGACGAUCCCUAGCUGGUCUGAGAGGAUGACCAGGAACACUGGAACAGAGAAACGGUCCAGAGUAGUACGGGAGGCAGCAGUGGGGAAGAGUGCAGAAUGGGCGCAAGGCUGAUGCAGAAAUGCCGCGUGUAUGAAGAAGGACGUCGGGUUGUAAAGUACUUUCAGCGGGGAGGCGUUACCCGCAGAAGAAGCACCGGCUAACUCCGUGCCAGCAGCCGCGGUAAUUC
RNAcentral lists this ribosomal RNA (406 nucleotides) under uncultured bacterium. RNAcentral's name for it is "partial 16S ribosomal RNA". It matches the Rfam family "Bacterial small subunit ribosomal RNA", at positions 29 to 526 of the family's 1533-position model. The record is from RNAcentral.